Molecule: ribosomal RNA, 492 nt
Filed under: uncultured bacterium
Lineage: Bacteria
Description: partial 16S ribosomal RNA
Rfam family: Bacterial small subunit ribosomal RNA
Source: RNAcentral
AUUGAACGCUGGCGGCAGGCCUAACACAUGCAAGUCGAACGGUAACAGGAAGAGGCUUGCUUCUUUGCUGACGCGUGGCGGGCGGGUGAGUAAUGUCUGUGAAACUGCCUUAUGGCGGGGGGUAACUACUGGAAACGGUAGCGCAUACCGCAUAACGUCGCAACAGCAAAAAGCAGGACCUUCUCGCCUCUUGCCCUCUGAUGUGCCCAGAUGUGGGAUUAGCUAGUAGGUGGGGUAACGGCCCACCUAGGCGACGAUCCGUAGCUGGUCUGAGAGGAUGACCAGCCACACUGGAACUGAGACACGGUCCAGACUCCUACGGGAGGCAGCAGUGGGGAAUAUUGCACAAAGGGCGCAAGCCUGAUGCAGCCAUGCCGCGUGUAUGAAGAAGGCCUUCGGGUUGUAAAGUACUUUUAGUGGGGAGGAAGGGAGUAAAGUUAAUACCUUUGCGCAUUGACGUUACCCGCAGAAGAAGCACCGGCUAACUCCGUG